GGAGGCUCAGAGACAGACAUUGUGUGAUACUGAAAAUCUCCUUCAACUCUUACCCUUCUCCUCGACUCCCAGAAUCUCUCUUUCUUUAGGGUUUGUUACAUAGGUAUACAUGUGCCAUGGUGGUUUGCUGCACCCAUCAACCCAUCAUCUACAUCAGAGGUACAAUAAUGAAAAAGAAAAAAAAAGUCUGAGAAACACGGUUCUGGAGCACACAUCUCUUCUGUGGCCUUGGAAGCUACCCACGAUAAGUGUUCCUUGAUCUUCCUCCCUCAGACACAGUUUCCUGAGGCAGCUGCUUCUCUCCCUGGUGUGCCCAGCUGAGACUUACCUGCCCUUGACAUUGGAGAAGAUAUGCAAAUAACUCCAUGAAUCCUUAGGGACCCAUCAUGGCUUCCCUUCAAGUAUUCAUUCUACCUGGGCACCCACACCCAAUCAUAGCUAAGUCUGGACUCACCUAGACGAUCUCAUCUGAAUCCUGCUGCAGGAAGAUGAGGCUGCCGGAUACUAUAUCCUCUUUAUAAACAGCAAUAAUAAUGUUGGUUAAAAUAGAUCUAGUGACUUACCCAAGAUGACAUAGCUAAUAUAUAGUAAGGUCAGGACAGCUUCCCCCAACAACACACACACUGGAAUGUUCAUUCUCUGAGGACAGGAGCCAUGCUGUUGCUCACUGGCAUGUUCCCAGGGCCUAGCACAGGCCCUGGCAUAUAGCAGGAGUCCAGUCAAUAUUUGUUAAAUGAACAGGGUUCUUUGAGCCUGGGGCUGUCAGAUUACCAAGACAAUGCAGGAAACUGUCAAAAAUAUGUGGGUCUAUUCAUCUGGCCCACAGUUGAUUUUACAUUGGCAGCUACCACCUUCAUUUUAAGAAGUGUAAAACAAUAGCUGCAGCCACUUCUUCAAGCACAAAGCUUAUCCCAAACUUCUGAGAGGCUUGCCAUGGAGUCCAAGGAUAGCUUGUUUCUAGGCUGUAUUUCAUUUCAAAUUAAGUGCAAUUAUUGUUAAAAGACAGGGUCGUCUUGUUAUUUAAGUCUCUUGUAUUAGGAACCCCAAAUUGUACACAGAGGUGAGACCACUCUCAUUUCUGUUUUCAAUAAAGUUUACACACAACACAAAUGCUCUUGCUAUGGGCUGAAUGUUUGUGUGCCCCCAAAAUUCAUUUGUUGGAACCUAAUCCCCAAGGUGAUGCUAUUAAGAGGUGGGGUAAGGUGGGGUUAUAGGGAGGUGACUGGGUCAUGAGGACAGUACCCCAAAGGAAGUCAUUCAUCCCGUCCCCCGUGUGAGGACACAGCAAGAAGCCACCAUCUA
Pongo pygmaeus (Bornean orangutan) is the source of this 1302-nucleotide long non-coding RNA. RefSeq lists it as uncharacterized. The record is from RefSeq and is a predicted model, not a curated record. NCBI's taxonomy places the organism in Eukaryota, Metazoa, Chordata, Mammalia, Primates, Hominidae. The transcript is spliced from 4 exons.